This 909-nucleotide ribosomal RNA is filed under the name Salmonella enterica. RNAcentral's name for it is "partial 23S ribosomal RNA". It matches the Rfam family "Bacterial large subunit ribosomal RNA", at positions 711 to 1536 of the family's 2925-position model. The record is from RNAcentral. Lineage: Bacteria; Pseudomonadati; Pseudomonadota; Gammaproteobacteria; Enterobacterales; Enterobacteriaceae. RNAcentral also lists the same sequence under 2 other names.
AGACCCGAAACCCGGUGAUCUAGCCAUGGGCAGGUUGAAGGUUGGGUAACACUAACUGGAGGACCGAACCGACUAAUGUUGAAAAAUUAGCGGAUGACCUGUGGCUGGGGGUGAAAGGCCAAUCAAACCGGGAGAUAGCUGGUUCUCCCCGAAAGCUAUUUAGGUAGCGCCUCGUGAAUUCAUCUCCGGGGGUAGAGCACUGUUUCGGCUAGGGGGCCAUCCCGGCUUACCAACCCGAUGCAAACUGCGAAUACCGGAGAAUGUUAUCACGGGAGACACACGGCGGGUGCUAACGUCCGUCGUGAAGAGGGAAACAACCCAGACCGCCAGCUAAGGUCCCAAAGUCAUGGUUAAGUGGGAAACGAUGUGGGAAGGCCCAGACAGCCAGGAUGUUGGCUUAGAAGCAGCCAUCAUUUAAAGAAAGCGUAAUAGCUCACUGGUCGAGUCGGCCUGCGCGGAAGAUGUAACGGGGCUAAACCAUGCACCGAAGCUGCGGCAGCGAACGUAUCACCCAAGACAACUUUACGGAGUUGACGAUUGACGGAGCGAAGCGACGUCAAAGCGUUCAUUAAAGUCGAGUUGGCUUAGGGAUACGUUCGUUGGGUAGGGGAGCGUUCUGUAAGCCUGUGAAGGUGUGUCGUGAGGCAUGCUGGAGGUAUCAGAAGUGCGAAUGCUGACAUAAGUAACGAUAAAGCGGGUGAAAAGCCCGCUCGCCGGAAGACCAAGGGUUCCUGUCCAACGUUAAUCGGGGCAGGGUGAGUCGACCCCUAAGGCGAGGCCGAAAGGCGUAGUCGAUGGGAAACGGGUUAAUAUUCCCGUACUUGGUGUUACUGCGAAGGGGGGACGGAGAAGGCUAUGUUGGCCGGGCGACGGUUGUCCCGGUUUAAGCGUGUAGGUGUGUGUUCCAGG